AAUAUUACAAGUGCGUAUGAGUGAUGAUGGUUAAAUAAUCUCUUAGAGCCUGGGUGAUAACAAAACAACAAGAAGGAGGUCCAAAUCUACACAGCGUGUUCCUCUAACAACGCAGCAGUCGCAUUAAAAAGCUUUGAUUAUGCGCUACCCCUAUCCCUACAGAAUGGAAUUUUCCUGAAAGCAUUCCUGUAGAAGAUCUGCCCCUAUGGGGGCAUCAAGUUCAAGAGCUGUAGUUUUUACAGUUGUGUUUUAACUAACUUCUACAGGCAAUAAGUUCACUUAGCAUAUGGACACAGACAAACAAACAGCUAUUCUUUCGGAACAACAAAAGAGGGCCAGGCUAAGCCACAUAGAUUCAGCCCGUUUAUUAGAAGCUGGAAAAAAAAAGGAUCAAGACCUGGUUGUACCACAGCUACCUCUGACAGCUAAGGAACCAGUUUGGCGUCUGGUUUGCCUGUUGUUUUACUGCUGACCUUCAGAUCAACUUUAACCCCUGACUUCUACGAGCAUAUAUCAUGACAAGAGCCUGUUUAACACAAAUGGUGCCCAACCAAAGGGGAGAAAAGAGAGUCAAGAUUUCCUUUUUUACGAAGAAUUCGGUUUUUCACCCCUCUUUUCUCAGUCUCCACAGGUGAAAUCCUUCCUAGCAGCUGGCUUAUGAAAUAUUGUGGUGGGAGGCCUUAAUAAGCUGAAAGCACCCUCAGCUGGAGAUAAAUGUAUGCAAAUGAGAUGCACAAACAAAGGAGCUUGGACAGAGAAAUAUCUGCAGUUCCAGCUAAAUGCUGCCUACAGCAGGAAGAUGAACAGCUUUGAUAAAAUGGUAACAAAAAGCACCUUUUUAUCCUCCAGCAUGUUUUACAUUGCAAUAGACCAUUGUCAUUGUAAGCCAUUGGAGCAUGCAGAGGUUUUCUGCACUAUUUCAGCAACCUGGUUAAACAUUUGUUUUAGAGCAUUCAUUGAAUAUAAUAAACAUGCUUCUCUAUAUGCUGA
Long non-coding RNA from Rana temporaria (common frog), 990 nucleotides. RefSeq lists it as uncharacterized. The record is from RefSeq and is a predicted model, not a curated record. The transcript is spliced from 4 exons. Lineage: Eukaryota; Metazoa; Chordata; Amphibia; Anura; Ranidae.